Molecule: long non-coding RNA, 213 nt
Filed under: Bos taurus (domestic cattle)
Lineage: Eukaryota; Metazoa; Chordata; Mammalia; Artiodactyla; Bovidae
Description: long non-coding RNA NONBTAT026826
Source: RNAcentral
AUGUUCAGACUAAUCUCCUUUUGAUAGGAAAUCCUUACAGUAUUUUGUGUGUAUUAUAAGCAUAAGGCAUUUCAUACUUUCAAGGUUGUUCCAGUCUUUGUCCUUUCACCCUCACGAGACUCCUUAAAAUUGAAUGUGGGAUUGAUCUUUAUUUUCUUCUUUUACUCUCAUUAGCGCCUCAGAUAAAAUGCUAAAUAAAACUCGGACUCUCUU